AAACACACAGAUGUCAAACCAGAGGAGCUGCCAAGCUGGGUACCGACGCGGGAUCUUACCCCGACCGGCACUGCUGGAGCGUUUCAGAGGCUACUAUGGGUAUUACAACAAGUAUGUCACUGUGAAGAAAGGGAGCAUUGCGGGGGUUUCCACAGUGUUGGCAGCUUAGGUGCUUUUCAGCUACUGCCUUUCUUACAGGGAGAUCAAACACGAGCAGCUACUCAGGGCCCACUGA
RNAcentral lists this long non-coding RNA (235 nucleotides) under Homo sapiens (human). RNAcentral's name for it is "non-protein coding lnc-CLDN14-3:1". Lineage: Eukaryota; Metazoa; Chordata; Mammalia; Primates; Hominidae. The record is from RNAcentral.